UUGGAUAGCUCAGUUGGGUAGAGCAUCGGACUUCUCAUCCGAGUGUCGCGGGUUCGACUCCCGCUCCAAGCA
This 72-nucleotide transfer RNA is filed under the name Luteimonas sp. RC10. RNAcentral describes it as "tRNA-Arg". It matches the Rfam family "tRNA". From Rfam's summary of the family: Transfer RNA (tRNA) molecules are approximately 80 nucleotides in length. Their secondary structure includes four short double-helical elements and three loops (D, anti-codon, and T loops). The record is from RNAcentral. Lineage: Bacteria; Pseudomonadati; Pseudomonadota; Gammaproteobacteria; Lysobacterales; Lysobacteraceae.